RNAcentral lists this ribosomal RNA (484 nucleotides) under uncultured bacterium. Its description in RNAcentral is "partial 16S ribosomal RNA". It matches the Rfam family "Bacterial small subunit ribosomal RNA", at positions 30 to 507 of the family's 1533-position model. The record is from RNAcentral.
AUUGAACGCUGGCGGCAGGCCUAACACAUGCAAGUCGAGCGGAUGAAGGGAGCUUGCUCCUGGAUUCAGCGGCGGACGGGUGAGUAAUGCCUAGGAAUCUGCCUGGUAGUGGGGGAUAACGUCCGGAAGCGGGCGCUAAUACCGCAUACGUCCUGAGGGAGAAAGUGGGGGAUCUUCGGACCUCACGCUAUCAGAUGAGCCUAGGUCGGAUUAGCUAGUUGGUGGGGUAAAGGCCUACCAAGGCGACGAUCCGUAACUGGUCUGAGAGGAUGAUCAGUCACACUGGAACUGAGACGCGGUCCAGACUCCUACGGGAGGCAGCAGUGGGGAAUAUUGGACAAUGGGCGAAAGCCUGAUCCAGCCAUGCCGCGUGUGUGAAGAAGGUCUUCGGAUUGUAAAGCACUUUAAGUUGGGAGGAAGGGCAGUAAGUUAAUACCUUGCUGUUUUGACGUUACCAACAGAAUAAGCACCGGCUAACUUCGUG